RNAcentral lists this ribosomal RNA (481 nucleotides) under uncultured bacterium. RNAcentral's name for it is "partial 16S ribosomal RNA". It matches the Rfam family "Bacterial small subunit ribosomal RNA", at positions 28 to 507 of the family's 1533-position model. The record is from RNAcentral.
GAUGAACGCUGGCGGCGUGCUUAACACAUGCGAGUCGAACGAAGCAUUUGCGACAGAUUUUUUCGGAAUGAAGUUGCUUAUGACUGAGUGGCGGACGGGUGAGUAACGCGUGGGUAACCUGCCUUGUACUGGGGGAUAGCAGCUGGAAACGGCUGGUAAUACCGCAUAAGCGCACAAUGUUGCAUGACAUGGUGUGAAAAACUCCGGUGGUAUAAGAUGGACCCGCGUCUGAUUAGCUAGUUGGUGAGAUAACAGCCCACCAAGGCGACGAUCAGUAGCCGACCUGAGAGGGUGACCGGCCACAUUGGGACUGAGACACGGCCCAGACUCCUACGGGAGGCAGCAGUGGGGAAUAUUGCACAAUGGAGGAAACUCUGAUGCAGCGACGCCGCGUGAGUGAAGAAGUAAUUCGUUAUGUAAAGCUCUAUCAGCAGGGAAGAUAGUGACGGUACCUGACUAAGAAGCGCCGGCUAAAUACGUG